This 504-nucleotide ribosomal RNA is filed under the name uncultured bacterium. Its description in RNAcentral is "partial 16S ribosomal RNA". It matches the Rfam family "Bacterial small subunit ribosomal RNA", at positions 30 to 523 of the family's 1533-position model. The record is from RNAcentral.
ACUGAACGCUGGCGGCAGGCCUAACACAUGCAAGUCGAACGGUAGCACAGAGAGCUUGCUCUCGGGUGACGAGUGGCGGACGGGUGAGUAACGUCUGGGAAACUGCCCGAUGGAGGGGGAUAACUACUGGAAACGGUAGCUAAUACCGCAUAACGUCGCAAGACCAAAGUGGGGGACCUUCGGGCCUCACACCAUCGGAUGUGCCCAGGUGGGAUUAGCUAGUAGGUGGGGUAAUGGCUCACCUAGGCGACGAUCCCUAGCUGGUCUGAGAGGAUGACCAGCCACACUGGAACUGAGAAACGGUCCAGACUCCUACGGGAGGCAGCAGUGGGGAAUAUUGCACAAUGGGCGCAAGCCUGAUGCAGCCAUGCCGCGUGUAUGAAGAAGGCCUUCGGGUUGUAAAGUACUUUCAGCGGGGAGGAAGGCGGUGAAGUUAAUAGCUUCACCGAUUGACGUUACCCGCAGAAGAAGCACCGGCUAACUCCGUGCCAGCCGCCGCAGUAA